CCUACGGGUGGCAGCAGUGAGGAAUAUUGGUCAAUGGACGAGAGUCUGAACCAGCCAAGCCGCGUGAAGGAUGAAUGCCCUAGGGGUGGUAAACUUCUUUUAUAUGGGCAUAAAACAUGGUAUGCAUACCCUCUUGAGUGUACCAUAUGAAUAAGCAUCGGCUAACUCCGUGCCAGCAGCCGCGGUAAUACGGAGGAUCCGAGCGUUAUCCGGAUUUAUUGGGUUUAAAGGGAGCGUAGGUGGGGUGUUAAGUCAGUUGGGAAAGUUCGGGGCUCAACCGUAGAAUUGCAGUUGAAACUGGCAGUCUUGAGUGCAGGAGAGGUAGGCGGAAUUCGGGGUGUAGCGGUGAAAUGCGUAGAUAUACCGAAGAACUCCGAUGGCGAAGGCAGAUCGCUGGACUGCAACUGACGCUGAGGCGCGAAAGUGUGGGUAUCAAACAGGAUUAGAUACCCGAGUAGUC
RNAcentral lists this ribosomal RNA (460 nucleotides) under uncultured bacterium. RNAcentral's name for it is "partial 16S ribosomal RNA". It matches the Rfam family "Bacterial small subunit ribosomal RNA", at positions 338 to 795 of the family's 1533-position model. The record is from RNAcentral.